Molecule: ribosomal RNA, 236 nt
Filed under: uncultured bacterium
Lineage: Bacteria
Description: partial 16S ribosomal RNA
Rfam family: Bacterial small subunit ribosomal RNA
Source: RNAcentral
CGAACGGGUGAGUAACGCGUGAGGAACCUGCCUCAUACAGGGGGAUAACAGUUAGAAAUGACUGCUAAUACCGCAUAAGACCACAGCACCGCAUGGUGCGGGGGUAAAAACUCCGGUGGUAUGAGAUGGACCCGCGUCGUGAUUAGCUAGUUGGUAAGGUAACGGCUUACCAAGGCGACGAUCAGUAGCCGACCUGAGAGGGUGACCGGCCACAUUGGGACUGAGACACGGCCCAA